CUUUAGAGUAGUCAUUCUCUUAAACUAUUUUUAGCAACACCCCUCCCCUUUUUAAAAACUAGUAUACGGCUACAUUUCUUUUAGAUACUAAAUCAGUGAGACAGUUUUUGUUUGUUCUUGCUAAUGGAGGUCAGAUUUUGAGAGUCCUUCUGAGCUUGGAUAACUCAUGAUUGGCGGUGAAAAGGAACGUAAGGCCUCCUCCUUCACCUCAUUACACAUUUUGUCCUACGAUUCUCAGCUAUCGCCAAGCCCAGGCCGCAGUGCUUGCAGUCUUACCCCGCCUCCAUCAGCUCAAAGUCCCUACCAAGCGACCCACUGAUUAUUUUGCGGAAAUGGCCAAAUCUGAUCUGCAGAUGCAGAAGAUUCGACAGAAGCUGCAGACUAAACAGGCUGCCAUGGAGAGGUCUGAAAAAGCUAAGCAACUGCGAGCACUUAGGAAAUACGGGAAGAAGGUGCAAACGGAGGUUCUUCAGAAGAGGCAGCAGGAGAAAGCACAUAUGAUGAAUGCUAUUAAGAAAUAUCAGAAAGGCUUCUCUGAUAAACUGGAUUUCCUUGAGGGAGAUCAGAAACCUCUGGCACAGCGCAAGAAGGCAGGAGCCAAAGGCCAGCAGAUGAGGAAGGGGCCCAGUGCUAAACGACGGUAUAAAAACCAGAAGUUUGGUUUUGGUGGAAAGAAGAAAGGCUCAAAGUGGAACACUCGGGAGAGCUAUGAUGAUGUAUCUAGCUUCCGGGCCAAGACAGCUCAUGGCAGAGGCCUCAAGAGGCCUGGCAAGAAAGGGUCAAAUAAGAGACCUGGAAAACGAACAAGAGAGAAGAUGAAGAACAGAACACACUAAACAGCAUCUUUGAAUACAAAGAACCAAGAAAAAGGAAUGAAGACUCGCAAUUUCACGACACACUUUGAUCCCUUCUGUUGGUGUCAUGUUGUAAACA
This 933-nucleotide small RNA is filed under the name Pan troglodytes (chimpanzee). RNAcentral's name for it is "processed transcript". The record is from RNAcentral. Lineage: Eukaryota; Metazoa; Chordata; Mammalia; Primates; Hominidae.